RNAcentral lists this ribosomal RNA (482 nucleotides) under uncultured bacterium. Its description in RNAcentral is "partial 16S ribosomal RNA". It matches the Rfam family "Bacterial small subunit ribosomal RNA", at positions 30 to 507 of the family's 1533-position model. The record is from RNAcentral.
AUUGAACGCCGGCGGCAUGCUUUACACAUGCAAGUCGAACGGCAGCGCGGGGCAACCUGGCGGCGAGUGGCGAACGGGUGAGUAAUACAUCGGAACGUACCCAGAAGUGGGGGAUAACGUAGCGAAAGUUACGCUAAUACCGCAUACGUUCUACGGAAGAAAGUGGGGGACCUUCGGGCCUCAUGCUUUUGGAGCGGCCGAUGUCUGAUUAGCUAGUUGGUGAGGUAAAGGCUCACCAAGGCGACGAUCAGUAGCUGGUCUGAGAGGACGACCAGCCACACUGGGACUGAGACACGGCCCAGACUCCUACGGGAGGCAGCAGUGGGGAAUUUUGGACAAUGGGCGCAAGCCUGAUCCAGCAAUGCCGCGUGAGUGAAGAAGGCCUUCGGGUUGUAAAGCUCUUUUGUCAGGGAAGAAACGGCUGAGGAUAAUACCUUCGGCUAAUGACGGUACCUGAAGAAUAAGCACCGGCUAACUACGUG